RNAcentral lists this long non-coding RNA (2139 nucleotides) under Homo sapiens (human). Its description in RNAcentral is "non-protein coding lnc-ZNF235-5:1". The record is from RNAcentral. Lineage: Eukaryota; Metazoa; Chordata; Mammalia; Primates; Hominidae.
UUUUUUUCUUUUUUUUCUUUUUGUAGAGAUAGAGUCUUGCUAUGUUUCCCAGGAUGGUCUUGAGCUCCUGGUUUCAAACAAUCCUCCUUCCUAAGCCUCCUAAAGUGCCAGGAUUAUAGGUGUGAGUCACAGGCCUGGCCAUGAUUUUGUUUUAUUAUUCUCACUUAUUUGAUUAUAAAUGAAUACCACCAUCUUUUCAAAUAUUUAUUGACAUCUGUUUUUCUCCUUCUAUACAUUCCUGGUAAUGUCCUUUAUUUGUAUUUCUUUGGAUUUUCUUCCCUGGUCUGGGCAUAAGAUUCUUAUUUUGGAUUGUAUCUUGUUUUAGAUAUCCAAAUGGUAAAUAUUUUCACCUUAGACUGUUACAUUUUCUGGUUUGUGUAAGGCAUCUUUUCCCAUAAUGAAUUUUAAAAUGUUCUAUAACAAUUGUGGUAAUUGCCGUCCUUGGGUGCCUGAAGUGCUGGGGGCCAUGGAAGAGGUACUACGACAGGAAGAGAAGAUGCCCCCCUCCCAAGGUAGGUCCAGGGAGGAGCGAUGCCACCUGUGGACAUCAUCACUCAACAGGACACUCCAGACACCCACACCACAGGGCACAGUUCCCUCAAUGGAGAAUUCUCUCUUUCUUUUUCUCUCUCUUUCAACUGAGUAAAAAGGCUAAAAUAACUAAUAUUCUGGACCCUUGGUCUCCUGUCUGAACCUGAGCAGGUUUCUCAUAUUUCAUGUGUUUAAGAGGAAGAUAAGAACAGCCUCAUUCAGCUGUUCUGAGGAGUAAAUGAAGAAACAAAACACAAGUGACUGGCAAAUUUUCUAGUAUCAUGCACAAAAAAUUUAGGUUAGGCUGGGCGCGGUGGCCCAUUUUGUUCUUAAUAAAGAAAAAUAGAAUGCUGUACAAUGACAUGGUUCUAUAAGAAUACAAAAUAUUUGUAAUGAUUGAAACAAAAUAGUUGACAACAUUUUUAGAAACUCAGAAAAUUUCAAGCCCCUAAGUCUUGCUUUCCCCACCUAAGUCCAACUAGUUCCUCUGCCUCAGUGACAACGUAUCCCAAGAGAAGAUCAAAUCAGGCUCUGACCCAGACUGCUUAGGUUCCAACCCCAGCUCCACCUCUCACUAGUCGGGUGCCUAUGCGCUCUGUGUCUCACUUUCGUUUUUAAAAUAGAAAAAAGCAAUACUUCUCCACAGAGCCACGGUGUGGCGUAAAUUUAUUUGUAUAAAGCCCUUAGAAUGAAGUUACUAAUUAAGACUUAAUUAUUAUCGACCCCCAUGCCCGAGGACACAACCUAUACACUCUCGGUUGGGGUGAGCAUCUCGGUCAAAGAGCCAAGGACCACUCACGUAGAGCUUUGCCCUCAGAAGCCAAGAAGUCCCUCCCUGCAGCUCUUCUGGAAAGGUCGGGUUGGGGAACGAGAAAGCUGUGAAACACCUUGACCGCGUCGCCGUCCCCCAUAAAAGUUAAAUGCUCCUUUCCCUUCAUGAAAGUGGACGCAACCCUCGCUCUCCUAAAAAGAGGUCAGAAGGCUUCCGGGAUCAUCCAGCGUCCUGCAGGGAUCAGGGAGAAGGGCCGAGGCCCCUGCAGCUGGAGCUCUGACCCCACCCGGUCCUUCGUGGGAAAUUAACAAGAGACCACCAGUCACCAAGUGACAGGGACUGCUUUAAGGCUCUCAUUUGUGUUACCUCUUCCAGUUCCCAAAACGAUUCCAUUAGGAUGGCCCUAAAGUCCCCAUUUUAAAGAACAGUAACGGGAAACCCAAGGAGAUUAACACCCCAACGUUAUAUCGAGAAGAAGUGGCCACGCGCGUGGGGUGCAGGGGGCGGAGUGGGCGAGCUCAGAGCCCCGGAAACCCUGAAACCAGGUGAGACGCGACCCAACCAAGUACCAAUGCCCCCGGGAAGCGAGGACAGACCCAAGCCCAAGAAGGUGCCACGGACGAGAACGCAAACAGCGGCCCUUGCCCCUCCAAACCUCUACUCUCCGACGAGGCCCCUUUUCCCCUAAUUCGAUCACCAGUUCUUUGAGGAUCCAAUGCGUAGGUCCAGGAAAUUCAGAAGGGCCUGCAACGCGCGGAACUGCCCCAAACUAUCGCGGAAAAACUGCAGCAACCUCAGUCCCCGAGCGGAAGUGUCCGCGACUCCACCGAAUGUUU